RNAcentral lists this ribosomal RNA (470 nucleotides) under uncultured bacterium. RNAcentral describes it as "partial 16S ribosomal RNA". It matches the Rfam family "Bacterial small subunit ribosomal RNA", at positions 28 to 507 of the family's 1533-position model. The record is from RNAcentral.
GACGAACGCUGGCGGCGUGCUUAACACAUGCAAGUCGAACGCUGAAGCACCAGCUUGCUGGUGUGGAUGAGUGGCGAACGGGUGAGUAAUACGUGAGUAACCUGCCCUUGACUCUGGGAUAAGCCCGGGAAACUGGGUCUAAUACGGGAUGCUACAUGUCACCGCAUGGUGGUGUGUGGAAAGGUUUUACUGGUCUUGGAUGGGCUCACGGCCUAUCAGCUUGUUGGUGAGGUAAUGGCUCACCAAGUCGACGACGGGUAGCCGGCCUGAGAGGGUGACCGGCCACACUGGGACUGAGACACGGCCCAGACUCCUACGGGAGGCAGCAGUGGGGAAUAUUGCACAAUGGGCGAAAGCCUGAUGCAGCGACGCCGCGUGAGGGAUGACGGCCUUCGGGUUGUAAACCUCUUUCAGCAGGGAAGAAGCCACAAGUGACGGUACCUGCAGAAGAAGCGCCGGCUAACUACGUG